RNAcentral lists this long non-coding RNA (1036 nucleotides) under Zonotrichia albicollis (white-throated sparrow). RNAcentral's name for it is "lncRNA (ENSZALG00000016176.1)". The record is from RNAcentral. Lineage: Eukaryota; Metazoa; Chordata; Aves; Passeriformes; Passerellidae.
UGCUUUUAGAGCUGCACAAAAGCUUCUGAAACCAAAACCAAACAAAUUUUCUUUGGUGUUGGCUGUGAAAAAUGUUUUUGCAUUUGAGUUUUUUUUCUUCAACAAAGGAACUUGAUGGUCUUUUGUAAUAGCUUGGCCUGACAAAGUUUGGGUAUUUUUUUCCUCUGUAGUUUUUCUUUUAGCUCAGUCCUUGAGAGGUCCUGCAGAUGCCACUGACAUUCUCCUGGAAGAACCCUCCAUCCUCUUCCUGGUCAGGAAAGGGACACAACUGGGCCCUGGAAGAAUGACUGGAUGGAGGGUGAAGGUGCUGAGAGUGGAGUUGUUCUGUGUUUGAGAGAAAAUGUGGAUGAACAUCCCUUACCCCUUGAUGAUGGAGCACUGUGGUGUCCCUGCCUGCCCUUCACACCAAAUGGCUCGGAGAAUAAAUCCCAGCAGAGCCGCAGUACAGCCGCUGUUCAGGAGGAGAUCCGGGAUGUUAAAGAAGCAUAAAUACAUAUUCAAAUACACGUUUAAAAGGAUGGCACCCUCGUGUUUAUCAGGGGAAAGGACACUUGGAGCACCUGUACCGAAAGGGAGAAGGUGAAGAAGCCUGUGAGCAUUCCCUGCCUCCUCUGAUCUUAUGCAGAUUCUAAACACAAGUCUGAACGCAAGCUCGAUGGCAACUCUCUGCUCCGGCUGCCAGGGCUGCAGCUCCAGCCGCUCCUCUCCGUCCUCCACCUUCUUUUUCCAAAGUAACAAAGCCAUUGGAUUUCCUCCCACCCCUUCCCUGCGCCUCCCCUCCCCCUCGCUGGCACCGGGGUUAUUUAUACAGAAUGUGGAAACAAUUUGCAGGAAAGUGAACAAUGUAAGCGGGAGCGAGGGAAGGGAGGCGAGUUUGCAGAGCACGCUGAGAGCCCCAGCGGUGGAACGCUGCUUUUGGGGGAGCACGGGGAGCAGGAUGUUUUCCUUUCUUCCUUCUCCCCUCUCCCACCAUCUCCCUGAGCUCCUUCCAUCCUGCUGGAGUCGAGGCCAAACCAGAGCAACGAGAUCUGAGUGA